RNAcentral lists this ribosomal RNA (314 nucleotides) under uncultured eukaryote. RNAcentral describes it as "partial 18S ribosomal RNA". It matches the Rfam family "Eukaryotic small subunit ribosomal RNA", at positions 1470 to 1796 of the family's 1831-position model. The record is from RNAcentral.
CCCUUAGAUGUCCUGGGCUGCACGCGCGCUACACUGAUGCGUCCAAUAAGCACCUAACCUAAUCCGAAGGGACCGGGUAACCUUAGCAAAGCGCAUCGUGAUGGGGAUAGAUUAUUGCAAUUAUUAGUCUUGAACGAGGAAUUCCUAGUAAGCGCAAGUCAUCAGCUUGUGUUGAAUACGUCCCUGCCCUUUGUACACACCGCCCGUCGCUCCUACCGAUGAAUCGUCCGGUGAAGUUCACAGAGUGGCGGUUCGUGGAGUUGCUCGCGAAGUGAAAUGGACCUCACGAUUUAGAGGAAGGAGAAGUCGUAACA